RNAcentral lists this ribosomal RNA (424 nucleotides) under Reticulitermes sp. ALS-2006l. RNAcentral describes it as "partial 16S ribosomal RNA". It matches the Rfam family "Bacterial large subunit ribosomal RNA", at positions 1797 to 2485 of the family's 2925-position model. Lineage: Eukaryota; Metazoa; Arthropoda; Insecta; Blattodea; Rhinotermitidae. The record is from RNAcentral.
CGCCUGUUUAUCAAAAACAUCUUUUCUUGUUAGUUUUUGAAGUAUGGCCUGCCCGCUGACUUUGGUGUUGAAGGGCCGCGGUAUUUUGACCGUGCAAAGGUAGCAUAGUCAUUAGUUCUUUAAUUGUGAUCUGGUAUGAAUGGCUUGACGAGGCAUGGGCUGUCUUAAUUUUGAAUUGUUUAUUGAAUUUGGUCUUUGAGUUAAAAUUCUUAGAUGUUUUUAUGGGACGAGAAGACCCUAUAGAGUUUAACAUUUAUUAUGGUCCAUUUCUGUUUGUGAGGGUUCACUGGGCCGUCUAAUAUGUUUUGUUGGGGUGAUGGGAGGGAUUAAUUUAACCCCUCCUUUUAUUAUUAUAUUUAUUUAUAUUUGCUUGAUCCAUUUAUUUUGAUUGUAANAUUAAAUUACCUUAGGGAUAACAGCGUAA